UGAACGCUGGCGGCGUGCCUAAUACAUGCAAGUCGAGCGAACAGACGAGGAGCUUGCUCCUCUGACGUUAGCGGCGGACGGGUGAGUAACACGUGGAUAACCUACCUAUAAGACUGGGAUAACUUCGGGAAACCGGAGCUAAUACCGGAUAAUAUAUUGAACCGCAUGGUUCAAUAGUGAAAGACGGUUUUGCUGUCACUUAUAGAUGGAUCCGCGCCGCAUUAGCUAGUUGGUAAGGUAACGGCUUACCAAGGCAACGAUGCGUAGCCGACCUGAGAGGGUGAUCGGCCACACUGGAACUGAGACACGGUCCAGACUCCUACGGGAGGCAGCAGUAGGGAAUCUUCCGCAAUGGGCGAAAGCUUGACGGAGCAACGCCGCGUAAGUGAUGAAGGUCUUCGGAUCGUAAAACUCUGUUAUUAGGGAAGAACAAAUGUGUAAGUAACUAUGCACGUCUUGACGGUACCUAAUCAGAAAGCCACGGCUAACUACGUG
RNAcentral lists this ribosomal RNA (495 nucleotides) under uncultured bacterium. RNAcentral's name for it is "partial 16S ribosomal RNA". It matches the Rfam family "Bacterial small subunit ribosomal RNA", at positions 30 to 507 of the family's 1533-position model. The record is from RNAcentral.